GGGGCAUUAGCUCAGUUGGUAGAGNNGAGGUCAGCGGUUCGACCCCGCUAUGCUCCACCA
This 60-nucleotide transfer RNA is filed under the name Paracoccaceae bacterium. Its description in RNAcentral is "Rhodobacteraceae bacterium (marine metagenome) tRNA-Ser". It matches the Rfam family "tRNA". Rfam says of the family: Transfer RNA (tRNA) molecules are approximately 80 nucleotides in length. Their secondary structure includes four short double-helical elements and three loops (D, anti-codon, and T loops). Further hydrogen bonds mediate the characteristic L-shaped molecular structure. tRNAs have two regions of fundamental functional importance: the anti-codon, which is responsible for specific mRNA codon recognition, and the 3' end, to which the tRNAs corresponding amino acid is attached (by aminoacyl-tRNA synthetases). tRNAs cope with the degeneracy of the genetic code in two manners: having more than one tRNA (with a specific anti-codon) for a particular amino acid; and 'wobble' base-pairing, i.e. permitting non-standard base-pairing at the 3rd anti-codon position. The record is from RNAcentral. Lineage: Bacteria; Pseudomonadati; Pseudomonadota; Alphaproteobacteria; Rhodobacterales; Paracoccaceae.